GGUUUAAUUCGAAGCAACGCGAAGAACCUUACCAAGUCUUGACAUCCCGAUGACAAGCUAUGUAAUGUAGCCUCUCUUCGGAGCAUCGGUGACAGGUGGUGCAUGGUUGUCGUCAGCUCGUGUCGUGAGAUGUUGGGUUAAGUCCCGCAACGAGCGCAACCCCUGUUCUUAGUAGCCAGCGGUUCGGCCGGCACUCUAGGGAGACUGCCAGGGAUAACCGUGGA
RNAcentral lists this ribosomal RNA (224 nucleotides) under uncultured bacterium. Its description in RNAcentral is "partial 16S ribosomal RNA". It matches the Rfam family "Bacterial small subunit ribosomal RNA", at positions 943 to 1167 of the family's 1533-position model. The record is from RNAcentral.